UACGAUAGGCUAAUUAAGGGCGCAUGGGGGAUGCCUAGGCUCUCAGAGGCGAAGAAGGACGUGAUAAGCUGCGAAAAGCUGCGGGGAAUGGCACAUACAUUUUGAUCCGCAGAUAUCCGAAUGGGGCAACCCGUUAUGUUGAAGACAUAACACACCGUAAGGUGAGCAAACCCGGGGAACUGAAACAUCUAAGUACCCGGAGGAGAAGAAAACAAAAGUGAUUCCGCUAGUAGUGGCGAGCGAACGCGGAAUAGCCCAAACCAAUAUUGUUACGGCAAUGUUGGGGUUGUAGGACCACGUUAUUUGAUGCUUAAAGAAUUAGAAUUUACUGGAAAGUAAAACCAUAGAGGGUGAUAGUCCCGUAUAGGUAAAUUAAGUUAUUGAUAGUGGUAUCCUGAGUAGUGCGGGGCACGUGAAACCUUGCAUGAAACUGCCGGGACCAUCCGGUAAGGCUAAAUACUCCUGAGAGACCGAUAGUGAACCAGUACCGUGAGGGAAAGGUGAAAAGAACCCUGAAUAAGGGAGUGAAAUAGAACCUGAAACCAUGCGCUUACAAGCGGUCGGAGCAGCGUAAGCUGUGACGGCGUGCCUUUUGCAUAAUGAGCCUACGAGUUACCGUUGCUAGCGAGGUUAAUCGAUUCAGUCGAGGAUCCGUAGCGAAAGCGAGUCUGAAUAGGGCGUGAUAGUUAGUAGUGGUAGACGCGAAACCGUGUGAUCUACCCAUGGGCAGGUUGAAGCUGUGGUAACACAUAGUGGAGGACCGAACCCGUUGACGUUGAAAAGUCUUGGGAUGACCUGUGGGUAGGGGUGAAAGGCCAAUCAAACUCGGAAAUAGCUCGUACUCCCCGAAAUGCAUUUAGGUGCAGCGUAUUAAUAGUUUUAUAGAGGUAGAGCUACUGAUUGGAUGCGGGGGCUUCACCGCC
This 923-nucleotide ribosomal RNA is filed under the name Bacteroidota bacterium. RNAcentral describes it as "bacterial LSU rRNA". It matches the Rfam family "Bacterial large subunit ribosomal RNA", at positions 1 to 936 of the family's 2925-position model. Lineage: Bacteria; Pseudomonadati; Bacteroidota. The record is from RNAcentral.